CGGGUUGUGGCUCAGCUUGGUAGAGCGCUGCGUUCGGGACGCAGAGGUCGCAAGUUCAAAUCUUGUCAACCCGACCA
This 77-nucleotide transfer RNA is filed under the name Eggerthellaceae bacterium. RNAcentral's name for it is "tRNA-Pro". It matches the Rfam family "tRNA". Rfam says of the family: Transfer RNA (tRNA) molecules are approximately 80 nucleotides in length. Their secondary structure includes four short double-helical elements and three loops (D, anti-codon, and T loops). The record is from RNAcentral. Lineage: Bacteria; Bacillati; Actinomycetota; Coriobacteriia; Eggerthellales; Eggerthellaceae.